AGCGGCAUGGCCUAGUGGAAAGAACUCUGGCCUGGGAAGUCAGAGGACCUGGGUUCUAAUCCCAGUUCUUCCA
This 73-nucleotide transfer RNA is filed under the name Ornithorhynchus anatinus (platypus). It matches the Rfam family "tRNA". From Rfam's summary of the family: Transfer RNA (tRNA) molecules are approximately 80 nucleotides in length. Their secondary structure includes four short double-helical elements and three loops (D, anti-codon, and T loops). Lineage: Eukaryota; Metazoa; Chordata; Mammalia; Monotremata; Ornithorhynchidae. The record is from Rfam by way of RNAcentral.